CUACAAAUGAAUUGACGGGACCCGCACAAGCGGUGGAUGAUGUGGUUUAAUUCGAUGCAACGCGAAAACCUUACCUACCCUUGACAUGUCAAGAAUUUUGCAGAGAUGUGAAAGUGCUCGAAAGAGAACUUGAACACAGGUGCUGCAUGGCCGUCGUCAGCUCGUGUCGUGAGAUGUUGGGUUAAGUCCCGCAACGAGCGCAACCCUUGUCAUUAGUUGCUACCGCAAGGAGCACUCUAAUGAGACUGCCGGUGACAAACCGGAGGAAGGUGGGGAUGACGUCAGGUCCUCAUGGCCCUUAUGGGUAGGGCUACACACGUCAUACAAUGGCCGGUUCAGAGGGCUGCCAACCCGCGAGGGGGAGCCAAUCCCAGAAAACCGGUCGUAGUCCGGAUCGUAGUCUGCAACUCGACUGCGUGAAGUCGGAAUCGCUAGUAAUCGUGAAUCAGAAUGUCACGGUGAAUGCGUUCCCGGGCCUU
Molecule: ribosomal RNA, 479 nt
Filed under: uncultured Aquabacterium sp.
Lineage: Bacteria; Pseudomonadati; Pseudomonadota; Betaproteobacteria; Burkholderiales; Sphaerotilaceae
Description: bacterial SSU rRNA
Rfam family: Bacterial small subunit ribosomal RNA
Source: RNAcentral